RNAcentral lists this long non-coding RNA (735 nucleotides) under Anser cygnoides (Swan goose). RNAcentral describes it as "lncRNA (ENSACDG00005018756.1)". The record is from RNAcentral. Lineage: Eukaryota; Metazoa; Chordata; Aves; Anseriformes; Anatidae.
AUGAACUGCUUUUAUUGCCGUUUAAUAGACUGGCAGCUUUUCUUUAGUGAACUUGCCCUGCUAACAGGUGUUGAUCCUUCUGGGAGAUGCAGUGAUGACUCACUGCAGCAGAUGGGGCUCCUGAACUCUACCCUGCUUGCACCAGAGAUAGGAGAGCCUCUCUGGAAGACAGACACAAGCAAUAUGUUAGAAAUUUCACAAGAGCAUCCUAAGCUACAUGGAAGAGUCCAAACAUUGCCAGGAGAUCUGACUGAGUCUUUGAAGCAGUCUAGCUUCUACAUGUAUGCAUCACUAAGGUUAGUCAUACAUCUCUUGUGGACUACACUAACUUUUUAAGGACCUCUCAUGUAGCCUAGGAACAGUCUGCAUUUUGUACUGCAUUUUCUUAAAUUCAUAAAAAAUGAAGAGCCCUUACAAGAAAAAAAAAAAAACAGGUAAACCACUGUUCAUGAAGACAUGAAAAUAUUUCAUGUUUCAUGAGAAAAAUAUAUAUAUUUAUUCUAAUUAGAUUUUCCUAAGCAUUGCAAAUAUUUGAAAAAUCUCUGCAUGUGUAGCUGAAAAAUUGACUUCUGGUUUGUAUUUGAUUCCUGAUGAUAAGGAUGAUGAUGAUGAAAAGCAGCAUUUCAGUGAAACUUUUGACUGAAAUUUAAGAUUUGAAAAGCUUCAGAUACCUUAGACAGCAGGUCACUGUGUAUCUUUAAACUGCAAACUCCAGUAACAAUUCUGCUUGUGCAA